This 747-nucleotide ribosomal RNA is filed under the name uncultured Ferroplasma sp. RNAcentral's name for it is "bacterial SSU rRNA". It matches the Rfam family "Archaeal small subunit ribosomal RNA", at positions 116 to 866 of the family's 1478-position model. The record is from RNAcentral. Lineage: Archaea; Methanobacteriati; Thermoplasmatota; Thermoplasmata; Thermoplasmatales; Ferroplasmaceae.
UGAGUAAGGGAUAACUUCGGGAAACUGAAGGUAAUACCUUAUAAUUGCUUAAAACUGGAAUGUUUUUGCAAUAAAAGUUACGACGCUCAAGGAUGAGUCUGCGACCUAUCAGGUAGUAGGUGGUGUAAUGGACCACCUAGCCUCAGACGGGUACGGGCCCUGGGAGGGGUAGCCCGGAGAUGGACUCUGAGACAUAAGUCCAGGCCCUACGGGGCGCAGCAGGCGCGAACACUGUGCAAUGCGCGAAAGCGCGACACGGGGAGCUUGAGUGUCUUGGCAUAGCCAAGACUUUUCUCAUUCCUAAAAAGCAUGAGGAAUAAGUGCUGGGUAAGACGGGUGCCAGCCGCCGCGGUAACACCCGCAGCACGAGUAGUGGUCACUUUUAUUGAGCCUAAAGCGUUCGUAGCCGGUUUUGUAAAUCUUCAGAUAAAGCCUGAAGCUUAACUCCAGAAAGUCUGAAGAGACUGCAAGACUUGAGACCGGGUGAGGUUAAACGUACUUUCAGGGUAGGGGUAAAAUCCUGUAAUCCCGGAAGGACGACCAGUGGCGAAAGCGUUUAACUAGAACGAAUCUGACGGUAAGGAACGAAGGCUAGGGUAGCAAACCGGAUUAGAUACCCGGGUAGUCCUAGCUGUAAACAUUGCCCAUUUGAUGUUGCUUUUCCGUUGAGGGAAGGCAGUGUCGGAGCGAAGGUGUUAAAUGGGCCGCUUGGGAAGUAUGGUCGCAAGACUGAAACUUAAAGGAAUU